Molecule: unclassified non-coding RNA, 332 nt
Filed under: soil metagenome
Description: partial contains 5.8S ribosomal RNA, internal transcribed spacer 2, and large subunit ribosomal RNA
Rfam family: 5.8S ribosomal RNA (bases 1-120)
Source: RNAcentral
GAUGAAGAACGCAGCAAAAUGCGAUAAGUAAUGUGAAUUGCAGAAUUCAGUGAAUCAUCGAAUCUUUGAACGCACAUUGCGCCCGCCAGUAUUCUGGCGGGCAUGCCUGUUCGAGCGUCAUUUCAACCCUCAAGCACAGCUUGGUGUUGGGACUCGCGUUAAUUCGCGUUCCCCAAAUUGAUUGGCGGUCACGUCGAGCUUCCAUAGCGUAGUAGUAAAACCCUCGUUACUGGUAAUCGUCGCGGCCACACCGUUAAACCCCAACUUCUGAAUGUUGACCUCGGAUCAGGUAGGAAUACCCGCUGAACUUAAGCAUAUCAAUAAGCGGAGGA